AGUGCACUGAGUGAUUAAAGAUUGUUGGGGCAGGGUGUGUGCAAGUUGAACUUAGCUCAGUGCAUCCACUGGCAAGGAGGUGGUAGCAGGAAAUAGGCAUGUGGUGACUUCAGUAACAGAGACGACUGCAGGGCUGACCUAAGCUUAGUAGCCUGGCUUCUCCGGGAGCUGAGGGUGAGCAUCAUGCCUGCUCCAUCUCCCUCUUUGUUGUGGAUAAGGCAGGUAGGAAGAAUGACGGAUUGCCUUACCCUUUCUAAUUGUUGUGUGCUCUCCAUACCCCACCCAAUCCUACUUCAACAUUGUCACCUAAGGAUUCACAAACCCACCCUUGUGCGAAUCCAGCCGUCUGUGUUCUAGACUGGCAAGGACCAUAUCUGAUUCUGAGAUGCUCAGGAAGGUGUGCUCCCAAUUGGCCCUUGUCCAGACUAGUUUACUUGCUGAGUAUCCCCAGGGCACAGGAACAAUCAUUUGGGGUUGCGGCUUUGUUCAUAGGGUCAUCAAGACAGGAGGAUAUGAGGCAGAAUCACCACACAAGCUAACCUGAUGUACAUAUGACAUUAAUCCAAUAGACUUAGGAAUAAGAUACAGGGGGUUUUCCUGAAUGAUUCGAGUAUAUCCCCAUUCAUAUUAAGAAAACAAAGUAUUGGCCAAGCGUGGUGGCUCACGCCUGUAAUCCCGGCACUUUGGAAGGCCGAGGCCAGUGGAUCACCUGAGAUGGACUCAACGACUCUCUUACCGUCCAGCUCUCAAGUCCCUUCUCUUGUGAAAAUGGAAAAGUUGAACUACAGUUGAGAUAUUAUUCCCAGGUGUUCUUUGGAACACAGGGGAUUUCUCCAAAAGGCACAGAACAAAUUGCCUCCAAACAGCCAAGAUUCCAGCAGAAGCUGGAGUAGCAGACUACUUGGAUCUUCAAAGUACCUGGCCCUGAGUCAGUUAAGGAAGAUCUUUUCUUCUCUUUUGUACAAUCCUAUGAUGAGAGCUGCAAAGUGAACUGACUAAGAGCUUCUGCCUUGAUCAUUGACCUCCCAAUCCUAAUAAUAUGUUCACUGGCCAAACUUCCUAAUCGAUUUGUCUUUUGGAUAUAACGUUCCUCCUACUGUUUGCCUGAUUGAGAAAUCUGCUACAGAACAUGACCGGUUAGCAUUCCCACCAACCCCAGUGCUACACUGACUGUCUUUCGAUGGACUUUGCUCCUUGCUGCCUCUCUGAGGUCCCAGACCUUCAGAGUGACCUUCACAGCUCUGCCUAACUUUCUGUCAUACUUCUAUCAAGAGAGACAGCUAAAUCAAUAUUUUUAAUGUGCUUUGCUGUCGGAAUUCGAUGAUCUGUCACAGUUCUUGCCCAAUACACCCCAUCAUUAUUGUUAAAAUGUUUUUAGCUUUGUUUGUAGAAUUGCUUUAACUGGUUUCAUCUCUGGGAGCUACACUUUGAAAUAUAACUUUAGCAACAUUUUACUAUACUUUUUCACAACCCAGAGCAGUACUAUUUUAUGCUUAGUGGUUAAACUAAUUCCAUAAAUCUUUUGCAACUAUCCUCUAUUCUUUUUCUUGUAAUUUUUACCUGGGAAGGUUUUUACUGAUAAUCAUCCUAUCCUGAGUCAUCCCACAAACCAAUCUGUCUCACUAAUCAUUGCUUCUAACCUACAGACUAAGCAUAACUUCUGCUAAAUGAUCUUUGAUAAGAUGCUAUGACUCUAUAAAGUCUUUGAUAUUCAUGUCUAAAUUUAAUCACUUGUAGAUUUUCAUAGAAUCAAUCUUUCACUUCUACAAUUGGGAGUAUUUAUAAGUUGUUUAUCUUAAACAGUUCCUCUAUCACGCUUUUCACGUUAAAUAAAGCAAUCCCUUCAAAUCAA
Homo sapiens (human) is the source of this 1852-nucleotide long non-coding RNA. The record is from Ensembl. NCBI's taxonomy places the organism in Eukaryota, Metazoa, Chordata, Mammalia, Primates, Hominidae.